Triticum aestivum (bread wheat) is the source of this 828-nucleotide long non-coding RNA. RefSeq lists it as uncharacterized. The transcript is spliced from 3 exons. The record is from RefSeq and is a predicted model, not a curated record. Lineage: Eukaryota; Viridiplantae; Streptophyta; Magnoliopsida; Poales; Poaceae.
UGUCAUCCCCUUCACCGAGCCGGACGCGCCGCCGCACGCACGCCGAGGCCGACUCGGACCAAUCCGGCGCCUGGUCCGACCCCGUGCACCCCUGGGACUCCCCGCUCGAGCAAAAGCCAUCGGGAACCCUAGCGCACGCCCUCCCCUUUCUUUCCUCGUCUACUCAAAGCCGCUGCGUCGUUUGGAUCUCGCCGGAGGAGCUCCGUGGCCGCUGUCGUCAUCGCUCGUUUGCGCCGCCCAAAGGGAGAGGAACCCGCCGGCCGACUUCACCGGAGCUCGCCGGAGUUCGCGCCGCCGCUGUCUGUAGAGGACGCCCCCGUCGCCGUACUCACCACCACCACCUCCGCCACUCAAAGCUGCACCCAUCCGUCCCUUCGUCUUCGCCGGAGACCACCGGAGGAGCGCCGCCGCCGACGCCCGAAGCCACCGCCGUUUUUUCCUCUGUUUCCGAUUGUCCGGAGUGCGACGCGAACUAUUGUCAGGAGUGUGACCUUCUGAACCAGAACCAAGGCAAGUUACAUGUUGAUCAUCCUUUACCUAUUGUUUUCUAUGCAUGUAGUUAUAUCACACUAUGAAUAUAUGCAUGUAUAGGAUUACUAUAUGAUUUUGCUAUGCUGUUGAGCCAUCUUCCCGUCUUUUGCAAAUUGUGGUAGUUGUAGUUUGCUAUGCUUUGUAGACGGGGUGGUUAGUGUAUUCAUUGAGUGUACGUGAGGAUUAUAUAUAUAUAUAUAUAACAAUUGAGUAGUAACUCAGGAUUUAACUCACCUCUGGGCGGAAGUGGUAUUGCUUGGUGUUGAGGGAAGGCAUCAUGGGGUCUUGCACCUUUUC